This 767-nucleotide ribosomal RNA is filed under the name Leuconostoc mesenteroides. Its description in RNAcentral is "bacterial SSU rRNA". It matches the Rfam family "Bacterial small subunit ribosomal RNA", at positions 66 to 819 of the family's 1533-position model. Lineage: Bacteria; Bacillati; Bacillota; Bacilli; Lactobacillales; Lactobacillaceae. The record is from RNAcentral.
ACAGCGAAAGGUGCUUGCACCUUUCAAGUGAGUGGCGAACGGGUGAGUAACACGUGGACAACCUGCCUCAAGGCUGGGGAUAACAUUUGGAAACAGAUGCUAAUACCGAAUAAAACUUAGUGUCGCAUGACACAAAGUUAAAAGGCGCUUCGGCGUCACCUAGAGAUGGAUCCGCGGUGCAUUAGUUAGUUGGUGGGGUAAAGGCCUACCAAGACAAUGAUGCAUAGCCGAGUUGAGAGACUGAUCGGCCACAUUGGGACUGAGACACGGCCCAAACUCCUACGGGAGGCUGCAGUAGGGAAUCUUCCACAAUGGGCGAAAGCCUGAUGGAGCAACGCCGCGUGUGUGAUGAAGGCUUUCGGGUCGUAAAGCACUGUUGUAUGGGAAGAACAGCUAGAAUAGGAAAUGAUUUUAGUUUGACGGUACCAUACCAGAAAGGGACGGCUAAAUACGUGCCAGCAGCCGCGGUAAUACGUAUGUCCCGAGCGUUAUCCGGAUUUAUUGGGCGUAAAGCGAGCGCAGACGGUUUAUUAAGUCUGAUGUGAAAGCCCGGAGCUCAACUCCGGAAUGGCAUUGGAAACUGGUUAACUUGAGUGCAGUAGAGGUAAGUGGAACUCCAUGUGUAGCGGUGGAAUGCGUAGAUAUAUGGAAGAACACCAGUGGCGAAGGCGGCUUACUGGACUGCAACUGACGUUGAGGCUCGAAAGUGUGGGUAGCAAACAGGAUUAGAUACCCUGGUAGUCCACACCGUAAACGAUGAACACUAG